Small nuclear RNA from Toxorhynchites rutilus septentrionalis, 147 nucleotides. RefSeq annotates it as U4 spliceosomal RNA. The record is from RefSeq and is a predicted model, not a curated record. NCBI's taxonomy places the organism in Eukaryota, Metazoa, Arthropoda, Insecta, Diptera, Culicidae. The transcript has a single exon.
AGCUUUGAGCAAUGUCAAUAUCGCAACCAAUGAGGUAAUUCCGAGAUGCGAUUAUUGCUAAUUGAAAAAAUCAUAUUUAACCCAUUUUAGGCCAAGCGUUCGAAAAAUCGAACAGUAACUUUAAUAAUUUUUCAUGUCUUUGAAAAG